This 453-nucleotide ribosomal RNA is filed under the name uncultured bacterium. RNAcentral's name for it is "bacterial SSU rRNA". It matches the Rfam family "Bacterial small subunit ribosomal RNA", at positions 28 to 477 of the family's 1533-position model. The record is from RNAcentral.
GAUGAACGCUAGCGGCAGGCCUAAUACAUGCAAGCCGAACGGCAAGAAUUAUAGCAAUAUGAUUCCUAGAGUGGCGUAAGGGUGCGUAACACGUAUGCAAUCUGCCCUCAACAGGAGGAUAGCUCCCCGAAAGGGGAAUUAAGACUUCAUAGAAUCGAGAGGUGGCAUCACCAUUCGAUUAAAUUACAAGAGGUUGAGGAUGAGCAUGCGCAUGAUUAGUUAGUUGGCGGGGUAACGGCCCACCAAGACGAUGAUCAUUAGGGGAACUGAGAGGUUGAUCCCCCACACUGGCACUGAGAUACGGGCCAGACUCCUACGGGAGGCAGCAGUAGGGAAUAUUGGACAAUGGGUGCGAGCCUGAUCCAGCCAUGCCGCGUGCAGGAAGAAAGCCUUCUGGGUUGUAAACUGCUUUUGCCUGGGGAUAAAAAUUCCAUGCGUGGAAGAUUGAAGGUA